GACGAACGCUGGCGGCGUGCCUAAUACAUGCAAGUCGAACGAAGCUGUUUUAACUGGUGCUUGCACCGACUUAAACAACUGAGUGGCGAACGGGUGAGUAACACGUGGGUAACCUGCCCCAAAGCGGGGGGUAACAUUUGGAAACAGAUGCUAAUACCGCAUAACCACAGAAACCACAUGGUUUCUGUGUCAAAGAUGGUUUCGGCUAUCACUUUGGGAUGGACCCGCGGCGUAUUAGCUAGUUGGUAAGGUAAUGGCUUACCAAGGCAAUGGAAGGAAGCCGAACUGAGAGGUUGAUCGGCCACAGUGGGACAGAGACACUGCCCAAACUCCUACGGGAGGCAGCAGUAGGGAAUCUUCCACAAUGGACGAAAGUCUGAUGGAGCAACGCCGCGUGAGUGAAGAAGGGUUUCGGAUCGUAAAACUCUGUUGUCAGAGAAGAACGUGUGCGAGAGUAACUGUUCGUGCAGUGACGGUAUCUGGCCAGAAAGCCACGGCUAACUACGUGCCAGCCGCCGCGGUAA
Molecule: ribosomal RNA, 524 nt
Filed under: uncultured bacterium
Lineage: Bacteria
Description: partial 16S ribosomal RNA
Rfam family: Bacterial small subunit ribosomal RNA
Source: RNAcentral